GUGGGGAAUAUUGGACAAUGGGCGCAAGCCUGAUCCAGCCAUGCCGCGUGAGUGAUGAAGGCCCUAGGGUUGUAAAGCUCUUUCACCGGAGAAGAUAAUGACGGUAUCCGGAGAAGAAGCCCCGGCUAACUUCGUGCCAGCAGCCGCGGUAAUACGAAGGGGGCUAGCGUUGUUCGGAAUUACUGGUCGUAAUGCGCACGUAGGCGGACAUUUAAGUCAGGGGUGAAAUCCCGGGGCUCAAACCCGGAACUGACUUUGAUACUGGGUGUCUGGAGUAUGGAAGAGGUAAGUGGAAGUCCGAGUGUAGAGGUGAAAUUCGUAGAUAUUCGGAGGAAAACCAGUGGCGAAGGCGGCUUACUGGUCCAUUACUGGCGCUGAGGUGCGAAAGCGUGGGGAGCAAACAGGAUUAGAAACCCUUGUAGUCC
This 425-nucleotide ribosomal RNA is filed under the name uncultured bacterium. Its description in RNAcentral is "partial 16S ribosomal RNA". It matches the Rfam family "Bacterial small subunit ribosomal RNA", at positions 354 to 796 of the family's 1533-position model. The record is from RNAcentral.